Molecule: ribosomal RNA, 494 nt
Filed under: fungal sp. E15103A
Lineage: Eukaryota; Fungi
Description: eukaryotic LSU rRNA
Rfam family: 5.8S ribosomal RNA (bases 156-309)
Source: RNAcentral
AUCAUUACCGAGUUUACAACUCCCAAACCCCUGUGAACAUACCACUUGUUGCCUCGGCGGAUCAGCCCGCUCCCGGUAAAACGGGACGGCCCGCCAGAGGACCCCUAAACUCUGUUUCUAUAUGUAACUUCUGAGUAAAACCAUAAAUAAAUCAAAACUUUCAACAACGGAUCUCUUGGUUCUGGCAUCGAUGAAGAACGCAGCAAAAUGCGAUAAGUAAUGUGAAUUGCAGAAUUCAGUGAAUCAUCGAAUCUUUGAACGCACAUUGCGCCCGCCAGUAUUCUGGCGGGCAUGCCUGUUCGAGCGUCAUUUCAACCCUCAAGCACAGCUUGGUGUUGGGACUCGCGUUAAUUCGCGUUCCCCAAAUUGAUUGGCGGUCACGUCGAGCUUCCAUAGCGUAGUAGUAAAACCCUCGUUACUGGUAAUCGUCGCGGCCACGCCGUUAAACCCCAACUUCUGAAUGUUGACCUCGGAUCAGGUAGGAAUACCCGCUG